This 90-nucleotide transfer RNA is filed under the name Bacteroidota bacterium. RNAcentral's name for it is "tRNA-Ser". It matches the Rfam family "tRNA". From Rfam's summary of the family: Transfer RNA (tRNA) molecules are approximately 80 nucleotides in length. Their secondary structure includes four short double-helical elements and three loops (D, anti-codon, and T loops). Lineage: Bacteria; Pseudomonadati; Bacteroidota. The record is from RNAcentral.
GGAGAGGUGCCCGAGUGGCUGAAGGGGCUCGCCUGGAAAGCGAGUAUACCGGUAGACCCGGUAUCGAGGGUUCGAAUCCCUCCCUCUCCG